AUGGUGACAUAGGGUCUGAAGGAAGCUGGAGGCAAAAGUGCGAACCUACGAACAGAAACUGCAUAAUAGGCUGAUGUUUGGGAUGAGUCUACAAAAUAAGAUUAAAUCCAGAGCUAGAAGAGCAUCAGUAAAUGCAGAGGUUACAUGCACUGAAGGUUAGU
RNAcentral lists this non-coding RNA (161 nucleotides) under human gut metagenome. The record is from RNAcentral.